This 253-nucleotide ribosomal RNA is filed under the name uncultured bacterium. Its description in RNAcentral is "partial 16S ribosomal RNA". It matches the Rfam family "Bacterial small subunit ribosomal RNA", at positions 524 to 776 of the family's 1533-position model. The record is from RNAcentral.
UACGGAGGGGACUAGCGUUGUUCGGAAUUACUGGGCGUAAAGCGCACGUAGGCGGAUUUGUAAGUCAGGGGUGAAAUCCCGGGGCUCAACCUCGGAACUGCCUUUGAUACUGCAAAUCUCGAGUCCGGAAGAGGUGAGUGGAAUUCCUAGUGUAGAGGUGAAAUUCGUAGAUAUUAGGAAGAACACCGGUGGCGAAGGCGGCUCACUGGUCCGGUACUGACGCUGAGACGCGAAAGCGUGGGGAGCGAACAGG